AUGCUUUACACAUGCAAGUCGGACGGCAGCACGAGUACUUGUACUUGGUGGCGAGUGGCGAACGGGUGAGUAAUAUAUUGGAACGUACCGAGUAAUGGGGGAUAACUAUCCGAAAGGAUAGCUAAUACCGCAUACGCUUUGAGAAGGAAAGCAGGGGAUCUUCGGACCUUGCGUUAUUCGAGCGGCCAAUAACUGAUUAGCUAGUUGGUGGGGUAAGGGCCCACCAAGGCGACGAUCAGUAGUGGGUCUGAGAGGAUGAUCCGCCACACUGGGACUGAGACACGGCCCAGACUCCUACGGGAGGCAGCAGUGGGGAAUUUUGGACAAUGGGCGAAAGCCUGAUCCAGCCAUGCCGCGUGUCUGAAGAAGGCCUUCGGGUUGUAAAGGACUUUUGUUAGGGAAGAAAAGGUUGAUGCUAAUAUCAUUAACUGAUGACGGUACCUAAAGAAUAAGCACCGGCUAACUACGUGCCAGCAGCCGCGGUAAUACGUAGGGUGCGAGCGUUAAUCGGAAUUACUGGGCGUAAAGCGAGCGCAGACGGUUAGUUAAGCAAGAUGUGAAAUCCCCGAGCUCAACUUGGGAACUGCGUUUUGAACUGGCUAGCUAGAGUGUGUCAGAGGGGGGUAGAAUUCCACGUGUAGCAGUGAAAUGCGUAGAGAUGUGGAGGAAUACCGAUGGCGAAGGCAGCCCCCUGGGAUAACACUGACGUUCAUGCUCGA
RNAcentral lists this ribosomal RNA (719 nucleotides) under Kingella kingae. Its description in RNAcentral is "bacterial SSU rRNA". It matches the Rfam family "Bacterial small subunit ribosomal RNA", at positions 44 to 756 of the family's 1533-position model. RNAcentral also lists the same sequence under 1 other name. Lineage: Bacteria; Pseudomonadati; Pseudomonadota; Betaproteobacteria; Neisseriales; Neisseriaceae. The record is from RNAcentral.